UAAUGGAAUUUUACCAAAAGGGGGGAUCCCCUGCCCUCCCUGCCACUGCCCAGCAGAUAAGGGGUUGUGACAAGAUAAGAACAAUGAAGAGGUCAUAUUGUCUUUGGAAAGAGGAGUGUAGCAUGAACAAAUUCACAACUUGGGUCCAGUAGCUUCAGGAAAAGUCUAAAUAAGCUACAUGUAUAGAUGGGAGAUUCUGAGCCUUGGGAAAAGUUGAUGUUACUAAUUUCAAGAACACAACAUUUCGUUCUUUAACAAUGCUAUUUUGUAUUGUGGUAUUGUUUUCAUACUGUAUUAUAUGUUUAUAUAUAAUCUAUAAAUUUUUAUCUUUUAAAAUUUUUCAAAUUGAUGAGCAUAUGUGGCAGGACAUUUUGUCUCCUCCUUCAUUUCAUGUUUGCGUCAUCCCAUACGUGCAGCCCCUCUGGGGCAGAUCAGAAGAGCUCUCCCUCUCCAUCCAGGAAUGAAACAGGAAUGGAAUAACUGGCCAUGCGGUCCAAGAGAGAGGCAGCCAUGCAGGUGGCUGCAGGAAGAAAGAGUGAAGGCUCCUGUGUGAGGCACGUGGAGCAGAUGGAGCCAUCUGAAUAGGUUUGAGAAGCCACUUCCUAUUCUCUGGCCAAGGAGAAUUAUGGAUUGCAAUGGGGAUACUUGAGCCAGAGCAUGAACAAACAUUAGGAGACAAGCGAGCACUCAAAUGGAGCAGACAGUGAUCAUGGUGAAGAAUUAUCUUGAGAUUCACCGGGGUUUAUCAGAAAGUAAGAAACAUGAGCGGGCAACUGAUUUAAUUGCUAUAAACGUAAGUGGCUCUUCACACAGAUGCCCCCCCACUAAAAAACACCCCCUUUUGAGGCAUGGCAUGAGGUGGAGUAGAAAGGCUAACCAUCUAAAAUU
Non-coding RNA from Equus caballus (horse), 888 nucleotides. NCBI's taxonomy places the organism in Eukaryota, Metazoa, Chordata, Mammalia, Perissodactyla, Equidae. The record is from RefSeq and is a predicted model, not a curated record.